Molecule: unclassified non-coding RNA, 159 nt
Filed under: fungal sp.
Lineage: Eukaryota; Fungi
Description: partial internal transcribed spacer region
Rfam family: Eukaryotic small subunit ribosomal RNA (bases 1-46)
Source: RNAcentral
AAGUCGUAACAAGGUAACCGUAGGUGAACCUGCGGUUGGAUCAUUACAUAUUCAUAGAAUAAACAAUGUGCUCAUUUAUUUGUAUUGUAUUGAACAGUGAUGAUAAUGGUUUGAUAAAUGUAGCCAAAACAACUUUUGACAAUGGAUCUCUUGAUUCCU